CCUACGGGGGGCUGCAGUGAGGAAUAUUGGGCAAUGCCCGCAAGGGUGACCCAGCAACGCCGCGUGGAGGAUGAAGGCCGUAAGGUUGUAAACUCCUGUUAGAGGAGAAGAAUAGUACCGAUUGGAUCGGUAUUUGACUGUACCCUCAGAGAAAGCCCCGGCUAACUACGUGCCAGCAGCCGCGGUAAUACGUAGGGGGCAAGCGUUGCUCGGAUUUACUGGGUGGCAGGGGCGAGCACGCGGCAGAGGAGAAAUCCUACAGCUUAACGGUAGAACUGCCUGUGAGACUGUUAUUCUUGAGUUCGGGAGAGAGAGACGGAAUUCCAGGUGUAGUGGUGAAAUACGUAGAUAUCUGGAAGAACACCAGUUGCGAAGGCGGUCUCUUGGUCCGAUACUGACGCUGAGGCGCGAAAGCGUGGGGAGCAAACAGGAUUAGAUACCCUGGUAGUC
Molecule: ribosomal RNA, 450 nt
Filed under: uncultured bacterium
Lineage: Bacteria
Description: partial 16S ribosomal RNA
Rfam family: Bacterial small subunit ribosomal RNA
Source: RNAcentral